AAGCGGGAAAAUGGCGCCGACGUGAGCGUGAGCCUGUGCCGCCAAGGAGGCCGCCCCUGCUGGAGCCAGAGCCACCGAAGGCACGGGAACCAGAGGUCUAACUGAGUAGAGGAUGGAGGAAUUAUCCGGACCCAGCUCGGACACGCUGGCCACUGUAGAAUCCAGCUCCAAUGAGCCUGACAAGGAGGUGGCAUCUCCGGAUGUGGCAGCUACAGCCACUCUUUCCUCCGUGGAGGAGCCCGGCCCUAACCCAACAGCCACGCCACCAGUAUGGGACCGUGGAGGACCUCUGCAGCAAGUUGCCUGUCCAGUCCCAGACAGCUGCCAGACUAGCUCGACCACCAGAGGCGUGGGGACCAAUGAGGACCUUCGGUUGCCUAGACGACGUCCACCACCAGGUUAUCUGUGGAGUUUCUGGGGAGUCCCAUGCCUUUGAUAGGACUGAGAUGGUGCAGGAUAUCCCAUUGGGGGGGUGGUCUUCACCAUUUACUGUGCAUCUUGUCAAUAUGUCAGGUAUGGCUCCAGGGAUGAACUAAACCAAUCUAGCCCUUCCAGGAAGUUUAUUCUAACAGUAGCUGGGUGGGGAGUGUUCAAGGCUUUGGGAAUGAGGGGAGGUCAGUAAGGAAAAGAUUAAUGAUACCCAUUUAUCCUGCAGGGAAACAAAUACCCUGCUCUAGCCCUGGCUGCUCCCUCAGUUUCCCCAGUGUUCGAGAUCUGGCACAGCAUCUCCGUACCCACUGUCCACCCACACAGUCACUGGAAGGUAA
This 767-nucleotide long non-coding RNA is filed under the name Rattus norvegicus (Norway rat). RNAcentral's name for it is "long non-coding RNA NONRATT025630". The record is from RNAcentral. Lineage: Eukaryota; Metazoa; Chordata; Mammalia; Rodentia; Muridae.